CUGACUGCAAGGAUGAAGUCCCAAAGCCACUACCUGUUGGCUGUGCUCGUAGCUGCGGUCUUGGCAUCGUCCCUAGGGAAGCAUUACGAAGCUUCCGGAUACCUCCCUGCAGUUCCUGACCAUGGGAAGAAAUAUGAAUCUUCCAGAUACCUCCCU
Callorhinchus milii (elephant shark) is the source of this 156-nucleotide long non-coding RNA. RefSeq lists it as uncharacterized. The transcript has 4 exons. Lineage: Eukaryota; Metazoa; Chordata; Chondrichthyes; Chimaeriformes; Callorhinchidae. The record is from RefSeq and is a predicted model, not a curated record.